This 537-nucleotide ribosomal RNA is filed under the name uncultured bacterium. RNAcentral's name for it is "bacterial SSU rRNA". It matches the Rfam family "Bacterial small subunit ribosomal RNA", at positions 102 to 674 of the family's 1533-position model. The record is from RNAcentral.
ACGGGUGCGUAACGCGUGGGAAUCUGCCCUUUGGUUCGGAAUAACAGCUGGAAACGGCUGCUAAUACCGGAUGAUGACGAAAGUCCAAAGAUUUAUCGCCAGAGGAUGAGCCCGCGUUGGAUUAGGUAGUUGGUGGGGUAAAGGCCUACCAAGCCGACGAUCCAUAGCUGGUCUGAGAGGAUGAUCAGCCACACUGGGACUGAGACACGGCCCAGACUCCUACGGGAGGCAGCAGUGGGGAAUAUUGGACAAUGGGCGAAAGCCUGAUCCAGCAAUGCCGCGUGAGUGAUGAAGGCCCUAGGGUUGUAAAGCUCUUUUACCCGGGAAGAUAAUGACUGUACCGGGAGAAUAAGCCCCGGCUAACUCCGUGCCAGCAGCCGCGGUAAUACGAAGGGGGCUAGCGUUGUUCGGAAUCACUGGGCGUAAAGCGCACGUAGGCGGACUUUUAAGUCAGAGGUGAAAGCCUGGAGCUCAACUUCAGAACUGCCUUUGAUACUGGAAGUCUUGAGUCCGGUAGAGGUGAGUGGAACUGCUAGU